RNAcentral lists this small nucleolar RNA (137 nucleotides) under Sorghum bicolor (sorghum). RNAcentral's name for it is "Small nucleolar RNA Z247". It matches the Rfam family "Small nucleolar RNA Z247". From Rfam's summary of the family: Z247 is a member of the C/D class of snoRNA which contain the C (UGAUGA) and D (CUGA) box motifs. Most of the members of the box C/D family function in directing site-specific 2'-O-methylation of substrate RNAs. The record is from Rfam by way of RNAcentral. Lineage: Eukaryota; Viridiplantae; Streptophyta; Magnoliopsida; Poales; Poaceae.
AAACUGGAGGAUAAGGAAAUUACCUCAUACAUCCUCGUUGGACUCGACACCACCUUCGACCCUGUCGUGUCCUCCAUGGCAUCCCGCGUCGAGCCUCUCACCCUCAGCGACCUCUACACCCAGCUACUGAGUUGGGA